Leptopilina boulardi is the source of this 212-nucleotide long non-coding RNA. RefSeq lists it as uncharacterized. The transcript has 2 exons. Lineage: Eukaryota; Metazoa; Arthropoda; Insecta; Hymenoptera; Figitidae. The record is from RefSeq and is a predicted model, not a curated record.
AUUAACGGAAUAAAACGAUUCGAGUCUGGUUUUAUUUAAAGGAGAAUUAUUUUACACUGAAAGGUUUCAUUUUUCGUUUGAAGAGGAUUUUCGUUUUUCAGUAUACACGCAUAAUGAAAAGCAAUAAUAUGUAUGUCGAAAAAGCUUUACCUCAUAUUCGCAAUCGCAACAAUACUUCUUGUUUAAAAAAAUAUAAAUUUAUUCAAAUUGUA